UGGAGUACAGCUCAGUGGUAGAGCAUGAGCUUAGUAUGCACAAGGCCCUGGUUUUGAUUCCCAGCACUGCAA
Molecule: transfer RNA, 72 nt
Filed under: Urocitellus parryii (Arctic ground squirrel)
Lineage: Eukaryota; Metazoa; Chordata; Mammalia; Rodentia; Sciuridae
Also listed under: 2 other names
Description: Spermophilus parryii (Arctic ground squirrel) tRNA
Rfam family: tRNA
About the family: Transfer RNA (tRNA) molecules are approximately 80 nucleotides in length.
Source: Rfam by way of RNAcentral